AUGUAUCAAAUGAGAAAGUUGUGGUGUGCUCCAUAUCUUGAGGGGCGUUGUUUCCUAGGAUUGAGCAGCAAUCAGAGGAGUGAGAGCUUGAACUCUGUGCUACAUACGCAUCUUGAGGGUAAGAUGUCGUUGUUUGAAAUGCUAGAGCACUAUGAGCGUUGCCUUGCGUCGCGACGGAUUAACGAAGCUCUCCAUGACGUCGAAGCCUUGCAGUCCGUUCCAUUUACAGAGGAAAAUGCUUCGCCGCUUGAGAAACACGCCGCAACAGUUUUCACACCUAGUGUCUUUAAGAUGGUCUUAUGGAGCAUAGAUGCUGUCAGCAAAUGUCAGAUCAGAGAGAUACUAGAUGGAUCAGAAGAUUCCACUUAUGUUGUGUCCAAGCAGGAAAGAAUGGAUAAAAAGUUUGGAGUGCGCAUUGAAGAGCAAGGAGGUCUUUUGCACAGGGUGAGUUGUUCUUGCCGUAAGCUGGAAUGCGCAGGCACACCAUGUUCCCACAUUUUUUACAUAUUGGGGAUUUUAAAAUAA
Molecule: ribosomal RNA, 525 nt
Filed under: Triticum aestivum (bread wheat)
Lineage: Eukaryota; Viridiplantae; Streptophyta; Magnoliopsida; Poales; Poaceae
Description: partial small subunit ribosomal RNA
Source: RNAcentral